ACAGUUUCUGUCACCCAGGCUGGAGUACAGUGGCACGAUCACAGCUCACUGCACCCUCAACUUCCCAGGCUCAGGUGAUUCUCCUGCAUCAGCCUCCCGAGUAGCUGGGACUACAGGUAUGCACAGGCUGCUCUCUAACUCCUGGGCUCAACUGAUCUACCCACCUCAGCCUCUCAAAGUGUUGGGAAUACAGACAGAAGCCACUGCGCCUAUCCUGUAAUGCCACUUUCUUUCAUGAAAACAAGGGCGGCAGAUAGAAGAUGUCUGGAAAUUCUUUGCUGUUUCUCCCAUUGAGAGGUGUGGACACAUUGAGAAGUCACUAUCUAUGAACUAGGAAGCAGGAUCUCACCAGACAUCGAAUCUGCUGAUGCCUUCAUCUUGGACUUCUCUCUCAGCCUCCAGAACUGUGAGAAAUAAAGUCCUGUUGUUUAUAAGCCACUCAGUCUAUGGUAUUUUAUUACAGCAAACCGAAUGGGCAAAGACAUGGGUGAAGUUAUCCAGGACCCUCCAAACCAGGCCAUUCACCUUCACCAGCUAAAUUCCACUGAGUGACCCCAGUCAGUGCACAUGGA
Molecule: long non-coding RNA, 572 nt
Filed under: Homo sapiens (human)
Lineage: Eukaryota; Metazoa; Chordata; Mammalia; Primates; Hominidae
Description: non-protein coding lnc-GSDME-1:1
Source: RNAcentral